GAGUUUGAUUAUGGCUCAGAACGAACGCUGGCGGCAUGCCUAACACAUGCAAGUCGAACGAGACCUUCGGGUCUAGUGGCGCACGGGUGCGUAACGCGUGGGAACCUGCCCUUAGGUUCGGAAUAACUCAGNGAAAUUUGAGCUAAUACCGGAUAAUGUCUUCGGACCAAAGAUUUAUCGCCUUUGGAUGGGCCCGCGUUGGAUUAGCUAGUUGGUGGGGUAAAGGCCUACCAAGGCGACGAUCCAUAGCUGGUCUGAGAGGAUGAUCAACCACACUGGGACUGAGACACGGCCCAGNCUCCUACGGGAGGCNGCAGU
Molecule: ribosomal RNA, 318 nt
Filed under: uncultured Alphaproteobacteria bacterium
Lineage: Bacteria; Pseudomonadati; Pseudomonadota; Alphaproteobacteria
Description: bacterial SSU rRNA
Rfam family: Bacterial small subunit ribosomal RNA
Source: RNAcentral